Molecule: non-coding RNA, 111 nt
Filed under: unclassified sequences
Source: RNAcentral
ACUCAACACGAUUACCAAUAGGUGUUUAGCUCGGGCUUUCUAGGUCAGGCCCCCACGACAGGGGAAGACCGAAAUUGUCUGGUAAAUGCCGAUCCUGUCUAAACGGAGUUU